ACUCCUACGGGAGGCAGCAGUGGGGAAUCUUAGACAAUGGGCGCAAGCCUGAUCUAGCCAUGCCGCGUGUGUGAUGAAGGCCUUAGGGUCGUAAAGCACUUUCGCUAGGGAUGAUAAUGACAGUACCUAGNAAAGAAACCCCGGCUAACUCC
RNAcentral lists this ribosomal RNA (152 nucleotides) under uncultured Alphaproteobacteria bacterium. RNAcentral's name for it is "partial 16S ribosomal RNA". It matches the Rfam family "Bacterial small subunit ribosomal RNA", at positions 335 to 504 of the family's 1533-position model. The record is from RNAcentral. Lineage: Bacteria; Pseudomonadati; Pseudomonadota; Alphaproteobacteria.